GACGAACGCUGGCGGCGUGCUUAACACAUGCAAGUCGAACGGAAAGGCCCUGCUUUUGUGGGGUGCUCGAGUGGCGAACGGGUGAGUAACACGUGAGUAACCUGCCCUUGACUUUGGGAUAACUUCAGGAAACUGGGGCUAAUACCGGAUAGAAGCUCCUGCUGCAUGGUGGGGGUUGGAAAGUUUCGGCGGUUGGGGAUGGACUCGCGGCUUAUCAGCUUGUUGGUGGGGUAGUGGCUUACCAAGGCUUUGACGGGUAGCCAGCCUGAGAGGGUGACCGGCCACAUUGGGACUGAGAUACGGCCCAGACUCCUACGGGAGGCAGCAGUGGGGAAUAUUGCACAAUGGGCGGAAGCCUGAUGCAGCAACGCCGCGUGCGGGAUGACGGCCUUCGGGUUGUAAACCGCUUUCGCCUGUGACGAAGCGUGAGUGACGGUAAUGGGUAAAGAAGCACCGGCUAACUACGUG
This 468-nucleotide ribosomal RNA is filed under the name uncultured bacterium. RNAcentral describes it as "partial 16S ribosomal RNA". It matches the Rfam family "Bacterial small subunit ribosomal RNA", at positions 28 to 507 of the family's 1533-position model. The record is from RNAcentral.